UCUGCUUUCCGAAGCAGACUUUUUCGUUGACGGAAAAGAUCUCCAAACCUUUGUCGGCGCGACUUCCCAGUCGCGCUUUUUUUUG
Burkholderia multivorans ATCC 17616 is the source of this 85-nucleotide small RNA. It matches the Rfam family "Burkholderia sRNA 25". Rfam says of the family: Identified by RNA-seq, RACE and Northern blot. Strongly expressed in biofilm. NCBI's taxonomy places the organism in Bacteria, Pseudomonadati, Pseudomonadota, Betaproteobacteria, Burkholderiales, Burkholderiaceae. The record is from Rfam.